RNAcentral lists this long non-coding RNA (962 nucleotides) under Citrus maxima (pomelo). Its description in RNAcentral is "long non-coding RNA (CMAX_LNC003121)". Lineage: Eukaryota; Viridiplantae; Streptophyta; Magnoliopsida; Sapindales; Rutaceae. The record is from RNAcentral.
UGAAUAAAAAAUGAGCAAUGCUUCAGGUGCACACAGAGUUUCUUUUUUCGUUUUCUUUUUUCAUUUUUCAUGAAUUAAUUAACAAGGAUAAUGGCAAACGCAAUUAAGAAGAUCAUCGCACUGCCCGUUAGCAUCAUUUCCAAAUUCUUUCUUACAUAAUCUGUUACAUUGAUGCAGCAAGCAAUUAAAUGUUGGAGAACCCCCCAACUUUUUCCGGCAAUAUGUAGCUUCCACCUUUGUGAUCUGCUCAUCUCCUGCAAUCCUCGCAAACAUCUACUGUUAAUAAAAUAUAUACUAAUUCUCAACUACUUUAAAUCCUCUUUUUUUUCUUUUCUUUUUUUUUUAAAAAAAGGUUAUGGUUGAGUAAAACCCAAAAUCAAUUUGUAGUCUUUUUUACCUUCUUCAGGAUUGGAAUUUGGGCUGACGUAUGUAGCUUCAACCAUUUUCAGCCUAUUUCCUGCAACCAUCGCUAAAACCAACUGUUAAUAAAACAUACAACAAUUCUGAAGGGUCCAAAUUAAAAUUUUAAAAGGGGAAAAAUGCAUAAACUAAAUUAGCAUUUUAAAGAGGCCUCAAUAUGGUAACUUAAUUCCAAAUAUACACCGGUGAAAAUUCAAUUGUGAUAUUAUCUUAUUCAACAAUAAUCAAAUCUAAUUAGGACAAACUGAAAUUUAAAAUUCACCUGUAGAGACAAAGAUCAGAGCCCAGAUGAGAACAACGAAGAUAGAGAAAGUUUUCAUUUUCCUUUUCUUGAUUGAAAUUACGAGGCUAAUGCAACUUUACACCAAGGUAUGUUGUGGCUGUUAAUUGUUGGGUAAAAGGUUUCAAAAUAUAUUUCUGUUUUUGAUAAACUGCUUUUGAUUAUUUGGUUAUUGAAAGAGAUGUUACAGAAUUUAUUAUUUGGUAGUUACAAAGUGAUAUAUUGUUAUCAAAGUUAUUUUUACCCGUUACAAAGUGCUAUU